GGUUGCGAUCAUACCAGCACUAAUGCACCGGAUCCCAUUAGAACUCCGCAGUUAAGCGUGCUUGGGCGAGAGUAGUACUAGGAUAGGUGACUGUGACAACUCAUGUUCCAGACC
RNAcentral lists this ribosomal RNA (114 nucleotides) under Helianthus annuus (common sunflower). Lineage: Eukaryota; Viridiplantae; Streptophyta; Magnoliopsida; Asterales; Asteraceae. The record is from RNAcentral.